CGCUGGCGGCGUGCCUAAUACAUGCAAGUCGAGCGGAAUGAUGAAGAAGCUUGCUUCUUCUGAUUUUAGCGGCGGACGGGUGAGUAACACGUGGGCAACCUACCUUGUAGAUUGGGAUAACUCCGGGAAACCGGGGCUAAUACCGAAUAAUCCAUUUUUGCUUCAUGGCGAGAUGUUGAAAGACGGUUUCGGCUGUCACUACAAGAUGGGCCCGCGGCGCAUUAGCUAGUUGGUAGGGUAAUGGCCUACCAAGGCGACGAUGCGUAGCCGACCUGAGAGGGUGAUCGGCCACACUGGGACUGAGACACGGCCCAGACUCCUACGGGAGGCAGCAGUAGGGAAUCUUCCACAAUGGACGAAAGUCUGAUGGAGCAACGCCGCGUGAGUGAAGAAGGUUUUCGGAUCGUAAAACUCUGUUGUAAGGGAAGAACACGUACGAGAGUAACUGCUCGUACCUUGACGGUACCUUAUUAGAAAGCCACGGCUAACUACGUG
RNAcentral lists this ribosomal RNA (495 nucleotides) under uncultured bacterium. Its description in RNAcentral is "bacterial SSU rRNA". It matches the Rfam family "Bacterial small subunit ribosomal RNA", at positions 34 to 507 of the family's 1533-position model. The record is from RNAcentral.